RNA transcript from Vespa crabro (European hornet), 2031 nucleotides. It is a transcript of the gene named TNF receptor-associated factor 6-like, with no coding region annotated. The transcript has 7 exons. The record is from RefSeq and is a predicted model, not a curated record. NCBI's taxonomy places the organism in Eukaryota, Metazoa, Arthropoda, Insecta, Hymenoptera, Vespidae.
UUGAUAAUUCUUGAAAUGCAACAGGAGAUUAUAUGUCUUCUUUGAAUAUUCGUUGAAUAUAUAUAAACAUAUAUGCAUUGUACAUAGUAAUGUGAAUUAAGAAAAUUAUAUCAUUCAAGAAUGAUCAUUUAUUUUUCUAAUUUUCUUUGUGUGAUCUCUUUACAAGUAAUCGAACAAUAACGUCUUCAUAUUUAACAACGUGACUUUCAUUAAAAUGAAAACAUAUAUAUAUGUAUAUAUAAUGAUAUAUAUUUAACUCACGCAAUAUUGGAAUUCUUCCUGGAAAAUCAAUAAUGGCCACAUCAGAGAAAAUUAAUGAACCUAUUAAGGUAGCAGAAGAAAGUGGAAUUUGUGGUGAUGGUAUAAAAGAAUACUUGGAACCCCGAUUUGAGUGUCCUAUUUGUUUAACUUGGCUACGUGAUCCAGUUCUAACAUCUUGUGGUCAUAAGUUUUGUUCACGAUGCAUUUACACUUGGUUACAAAGAGAAGGUGCAUGCUGUCCGGUAGACAGUCAACCUCUAAAAUCUGAAAGCGAUCUUUUCAGAGAUCUUUAUACCAGCAGAGAGAUAUCUCAACAACGAACUACAUGUGCAUAUCGUCAAUUUGGCUGUUUGAUGGAAUUAUCACCAGUAGAUAUGGAGACACAUAUCAAUCAAUGUACAUACAAAAAUUUGUCUACCUCAAUAGGGACUCAAUGUCCCUUUAAAGAUGUUGGUUGUAUGGAAAUAUUUUGUUCCGAAGAAUCUUCACAUAUUCAUUUGGAAAAAAAUAUCAAUUCACAUUUAACUAUGAUACUAAAUGCACUUCCACGUUUAUCUAUAAACCAAAGCAAUGUUAGUGCCAUAUCCGCAGAAUCUAAGUUAUGGGAUCCACCACCCAAAAACGGAACAUCAGUUUCAGAUAAAGAACCACCUCCAGAUUGGCAGCAGUUAUUAAAGAGUUUGUAUGAAAGGAUAGUGGUAUUAGAACAACAAAAUCGAGAACUUUCUAUUAUUGUCUCCAAUCAAAAAAAUCAACUUACAGCUUUACAAACAUCAGUACGUUUUACAGAAGAGGAAAUGUUAUUACGUAAUUGUAAUGGUGUUUAUAUCUGGAAAUUAAAUUCUUUCCAAGAAAAGCUUACUUCCAUGAUAAAUGAUCCUUUAAAGAUGUAUUAUAGUCCUGGAUUUUACACUGGACCUAAUGGUUACAAAAUUUGUGCCAGAAUAAAUAUAUCCUCAAAGGAUCCGGAAUUUUUGUCAAUACUUUUACAUAUUAUGAAAUCUGAAAAUGACGAUGCAUUAGAUUGGCCUUUUAAUGGUGUUAUGUAUUUCAUUUUGAUACACCCACAUAACACAGAAAAAGAUAUAAGAGAGAAAACUUGUUCCAGACCAGAUCUUGAAGCUUUCAGAAAGCCAAUCUGUGAAUUAAAUAAACGUAGUUUCGGUUACGUUGAAUUUGUGCGCAUACGGGAUAUAUCUGAUUUUUUACGAAAGGAUACUUUAACAUUUCGAAUCGAAGUUCGAGCAUACGAUAAAUUUAAGUUACCAUUAGUAUAAGAUCAUUUAUUAUACUCAUUAGAAACUUUAUCAAACUUUGUGAAUAAUUAUAAAGUGCAGAUCUUUUAUAUAUUAUUAAACUGUUAAGAUAUUUUUUAUUAAUUUUAUAUAAAAAUAAAACCCAAAAGAAUCCGUCCAAUGUUUGUACAAGAUUGUUGAAUUAACAACAUAUAUUAUGCUACCUGGAUAUUUCACAUACAGGAAAUAUUAAAUAAUUUGUCUUCUACCGACCCACUUCCAUAAAAAAGAAUAUUUUCUAAGUACUCGAAUCUUGUAUAAUCGGUCGUAACGGAAAGAUUAUCUUCAAGAAUAAUGGACGUAAAUUUUAUACGUUAUUUAUUUAUAUUUAAUUCUUGCUUUAUGACCAUUCUUGGAUUUAUUGUUAUUUAUGCUGAACCUUACUUACCUGUUUUAAUUACACGUACAUUUCACUAUGGUAAACAUGCAAUUAAAAUUCAUCAACCAAUAGUUGCAAAAACCGAAGUACCAAAAA